GUAGGUGGCAAGCGUUGUCCGGAAUUAUUGGGCGUAAAGCGCGCGCAGGUGGUUCUUUAAGUCUGAUGUGAAGGCCCCCGGCUCAACCGGGGAGGGUCAUUGGAAACUGGGGAACUUGAGUGCAGGAGAGGAAAGUGGAAUUCCACGUGUAGCGGUGAAAUGCGUAGAUAUGUGGAGGAACACCAGUGGCGAAGGCGACUUUCUGGCCUGUAACUGACACUGAGGCGCGAAAGCGUGGGGAGCAAACAGGGAUUAGAUACCCUGGUAGUCCACGCCGUAAACGAUGAGUGCUAAGUGUUGGGGGGGUUUCCCGCCCCUCAGUGCUGCAGCUAACGCAUUAAGCACUCCGCCUGGGGAGUACGGUCGCAAGACUG
Molecule: ribosomal RNA, 374 nt
Filed under: uncultured organism
Description: partial 16S ribosomal RNA
Rfam family: Bacterial small subunit ribosomal RNA
Source: RNAcentral